UGGGGAAUAUUGCGCAAUGGGCGAAAGCCUGACGCAGCAACGCCGCGUGCGGGAUGAAGGCCUUCGGGUUGUAAACCGCUUUCAGUGGGGACGAAAAUGACGGUACCCACAGAAGAAGCCCCGGCCAACUACGUGCCAGCAGCCGCGGUAACACGUAGGGGGCGAGCGUUGUCCGGAUUUAUUGGGCGUAAAGAGCUCGUAGGCGGGCCUCCAAGUCCGGGGUGAAAUCCUCCAGCCUAACUGGAGAAGAGCCUCGGAGACUGGGGGCCUCGAGGGAGGUAGGGGCAAGCGGAACUAUGGGUGGAGCGGUGAAAUGCAUUGAUAUCCAUAGGAACUCCGGUGGCGAAGGCGGCUUGCUGGACCUCUUCUGACGCUGAGGCGCGAAAGCCAGGGGAGCAAACGG
RNAcentral lists this ribosomal RNA (403 nucleotides) under uncultured bacterium. RNAcentral's name for it is "bacterial SSU rRNA". It matches the Rfam family "Bacterial small subunit ribosomal RNA", at positions 355 to 775 of the family's 1533-position model. The record is from RNAcentral.